UGAUGUUUAUUUUGUUUUUUUGCUUUCGUUCUUUUCAUUUGUUCCUGUUUGAUGUUUUGUGUUAGGGUUUGAUUUCAUAAUUGCAGUGUGUUAGGGUUGCUGAUGUUUGUUUUUAUUUUGUUCCAACAAGGAAGUUGAAACCAACAAUGACGGUGCUUUCGGGUUUAUUUUGAUUUUUCCUUUCGUUCUUUUCAUUUAUUAUUGUUUGAUGUUAGAUUUUGGGGUUUGAUUUCACCGAUGUUGUGCGUUAUGGUUGGUGACAUUGUUUUUUUUUUUGGAUGAGGAAAUUGAAACCGACAAUAAAGGUUCAUUCAAGUUUAUUUGUUUUUUUUCUUCAUUUUUUUCAUUAGUGCCUGUUUGAUGUUAUGUGUUGGGUUUGGUUUUGCCGAUUUUGUGUGUUAGGGUUGCUGACGUUGGCUUUAAUUUUGUUCUUUGAUGUUGGGUGUUGGGCUUCGAUUUCGCUAGUGGGGUGGGUUAAGGUUUCUAAUGUUGGUUUUUCGUUUGUUCCUGUUUGAUGUUAAUUGUUGGGCAUUAGUUUUUGCGGUUUUUUCAUUGGUUGGUGCAAGUUACUUUUACGUUGUUCUCUGAUUGUUUGUGAUGUAGCUAGAAAUUCAUUUAUGGGUUUUGAGGUUGGGUAUUAGGCUUUCAUUUUUUAGGACUUUCGUCUCUGGAUUCCGAAGUUGGUAGAUACAUGUUUAGUGUUUAGGUUUCAGUUCUUAUUUUUAGGGUCUGAUGGUGUCUACUGAUUCAGGUUAGUUUUUUUAUCUUUUGAUUCUCUAUAUUGAGGUGUAAUUUUUGUGGAUUUGGUUUGUCAAUUCAGAGACUGGGUUUUUUGUUUGCUUUCUGGGAUUUUAGGUUGGCUUUUGUUGUUUUUUAAUGUUUAGAGUCACAUGAUUGUUAAACUAAUUUAUUGGUUUUUCAUGGUCUAUGUGACAUGUUGAAUGAAGAAGGUAUGUUAGUCUUGUUGUGUGUGAAGUUACAUGUUGAAUGAAGAAGGUAUGUUAUUGUUGUUGUGUUUCAAGUGGCAUUUUGUGAUCAUAUUGUUCAUUAAAGUUUUGUUGUAGGGGAUGUCUCAAAGUUUUGAUAUGAUUGGAGCUAUUGAUGAUAACAAAGAAACAUUCAAGCUUGUAGUUCGAAUUGUGGAUCGGGUUUGUCCAAGCCCGUGAAAAGUCUAAGCACCUUGAAAUGGUGUUGAUGGAUGGAAGGAGGGAUACAGUCCAUGCCAUUUUUAAGAAAGAUGAUAUGGAAAGUUGGGAAGUUGAACUUAAGGAAGGGAAAGCGUAUUAUAUGUACAACUUUAGGGUUGUUCCGAAUCAUGGCCUGUACAAAGUUUGAGCACAUCCAUUCAAGCUUUAUUUCACUGGUGGUACAACUCUGAGGCAAGUCGAUCUUGCUGAAAUUCCUCUUCAAUCAUACGAGUUUAUGAGUUUUGAAUACAUCACUCAUGGCAAUUAUGAUCCUAUUAUGUUGAUUGAUGUAAUUGGGGUUGUAGAGGAGGUCAAAUUUCAGCUUCCUAAUGGGAAUCCUACAAGAUUAGUUUUAAACCUUAAAGAUCUGAGGUGUUCGUGGAUUAACCAUCUCUAACUCACUAUAUGGAUCAAAGUUGCUCAUCAAUUAUGAAGUUCCUAAUUUUGCCAUCUAUAGAGAGAGGUAUAGUCUUAUUUGGGAUUAAAUCUUAUUUCACGUUUGAGUUGUUUUAUUAAUUUGUGUGUAGGUUGAGUUCUGUAUGUUUGGGAGAACCAUCAAAUGUCAGUCAGUCCCUCAGUAUAGGGCAAUAUUCUCAGGAUUCUGACUUUUCGGAGCUUGAUCGCUUUUUGUACAAGUCCAAGGUCCUUAGUAUUUCAAACAUUCGUGAUGCUGCUGGUGGCACUAAUUUCAAUACUAUUGGGAAUAGCUCCAAGUUGAUCAUGAAGAUGUAGCUUACACAUGUUCAUGUGGAAAAUUUAAUGAAAAAUCUAUUAUGAGGUAUAGGGUGGAGAUCAUGGUUUACCACGGAAAAGGAUCAACCACUUUUUUUUUUUGGGAUCAUGAUUGAACUAGAGUCAUUAGAAUGUCUGCUGCAGAUCUGAGAAACGUUAUGAUUCAAGCAAGUUUUGAAAUAGAAAUUAUAUGUUUUUCUUUUAUUUAAUUUCACAAUUUUUUAUUAACUUUCAUUGUGACCAUCUUUUUCAAACGGGAGAAGGUGGACCUAAACACUUUCCUCACCCUCUUGAUAAAAUACUUGGUCUAACUGUUGCGUUAAGGUGCAAGUACUAGCGCAAAUUCAAUUCCUCUUCUGUGAUGAAGAUGUCAAAUGAUGCUGAUAUUAUUAAAACUAUUACAGAGCAAAUAUAUGAUGAAGAGGGUGUAGCUGAUAUUAUCGAGCCAUCAUGUUAUAAAACUUAGGCAAGUCAGCUAGAGUUAUCCCAAAUUGAAGAUGUCAGACAGUUUGGUCAAGUGAGCAAAAAUGUUGUUGUUUUCUUAUUAUAUGGAUAUCAAUAGGUUGGGAGUGUGAUACUCAUUUUUUUUGAAUUACCACAACAAUCCUUAUCAAGUACAGCUGAUCAUGAUCCAUAUCAAGAUGCAAUAGUUACCCCCACAAAGAGAUUAUCUUCUGAGUUAUCACCUGGUGACCCAUCAUCUGAAGAAGUUCCAUCUGCACAGUUGUCUACCACAAAAUUACAAAACACAUUAAAAUUGAAUGAAGAAAAGGAUAGGCAAAUUAUGUGUUUUGUUUCAUUUAAAUUAUUAUGUAAUCCUCAGUGAUGUUUUUUUUAACAAACUAUUCAACAAAUGUUAUUUUGUUAUUGGAGUCAUUAUUCUUUCUGGAAUGUU
Long non-coding RNA from Glycine soja, 2814 nucleotides. RefSeq lists it as uncharacterized. The record is from RefSeq and is a predicted model, not a curated record. NCBI's taxonomy places the organism in Eukaryota, Viridiplantae, Streptophyta, Magnoliopsida, Fabales, Fabaceae. The transcript has 7 exons.